CUUUAAAACGUUUAUUCCAUUAAUACAAAUUUUCAUAGUUUAUUUAAGCCAAACCAAUUCCAUCGCACUCUGUCCCAAGUUCAAUUCAUGUUUAAUGUCAUAAAAACCGAAAUAGAUUUUACAAACAAUUUUUACAUUUAAUUUUAAUAAAAUAAAUUCCUAUUAAAGUUUUAAAUUAACAUUUAAGUUACACAAUGCACAUAUCUUACAGAACAAUAACUAGAAACAAGAUUAAGCAAAUAAACAAUAGGUCUAAUCAUUUCAUCUCUGCAAUAAAUAUCAAUGUUGCUACAUUUAAUAGAUGUUACUGGCAAACACCAAAACUAAGGAACAAUUAAUAUCUACAUUGAUACAUUUAUGGAAAAUAGAAAGCAAUUGACAUUUGUUUAAGCCAUAUGUAAACUCAUAUAUUUUUAUCUUUGCUGAAACAUACACAUAUUGAACAAUUCACAUGGAUUAGAACUAAAACAUUAACAUAGAUUAAAUUAGAUUCAGUUUGCUCAUUAUAAUACAGUUCUUGUCAUUUGUAUAUUAUUAGAGUUUAAUUUACAGUUUUAAGACAUCAGAAACAUAACUCUUUCUUUCCAACUCAAUCAACAUGUCUUUGACUCCAGUGAUUGACAUGCAUUACAUGAGGUGAGAGGCUGUAGCAACCUCUGAAUAUGUAUGAGCUAACAUGACACGAGACAUUUAAAAUAUUUGGAACCUGAGAAUCCUAAUGAUCUGUCCCAAAUGUUUGUCCCCAUGUGACGUUUCAUUGAUUACGACCUAAUAUGGUGCAGAGCAAUCCAUUUGGCUGCUGGUGAGCAAGAAGACCCACAGCUCUGCUAAAACCAUUGACAACUGUGUGCAGUUUUCAAGGGAUUGUUAAACAUUUUUUUAAGAACUUUAUUUAACUAGGCAAGUCAGUUCUAUUUACAGUGACAGCCUAGGAACAGUGGGUUAACUGCCUUGUUCAGGAGCAGCUCAGGGAUUCAACAUGCAACCUUUCGGUUACUGGCCCAACGCUCUAAACCACUAGGCUACCUGCCUCCCCAACACUCUAACCACUAGGCUACCUGCCUCCCCAACACUCUAACCACUAGGCUACCUGCCGCCCCAACACUCUAACCACUAGGCUACCUGCCUCCCCAAUACUCUAACCACUAGGCUACCUGCCUCCCCUACACUCUAACCACUAGGCUACCUGCCUCCCCAACGCUCUAACCACUAGGCUACCUGCCUCCCCAACGCUCUAACCACUAGGCUACCUGCCUCCCCAACCCUCUAACCACUAGGCUACCUGCCUCCCCAACGCUCUAACCACUAGGCUACCUGCCUCCCCAACGCUCUAACCACUAGGCUACCUGCCGCUCUAACCACUAGGUUACCUGCCGCCCCAACGCUCUAAGUUACCUGCCUCCCCAACACUGUAACCACUAGGCUAUCUGCCACCCCAACGAUCUAACCACUAGGUUACCUGCCUCCCCAACACUGUAACCACUAGGCUAUCUGCCACACCAACGAUCUAACCACUAGGUUACCUGCCUCCCCAACACUGUAACCACUAGGCUAUCUGCCACACCAACGAUCUAACCACUAGGCUACCUGCCUCCCCAACACUCUAACCACUAGGCUACCUGCCACCCCAACGCUUUAACCAUUAGGCUACCUGCCUCCCUAACGCCCUCACCACUAGGCUACCUGCCUCCCCAACACUCUAACCACUAGGCUAUCUGCCACCCCAACGAUCUAACCACUAGAUUACCUGUCACCCCAACGCUCUAACCACUAGGCUACCUGGCUCCCCAACGCUCUAACCACUAGGCUACCUGCCGCCCUGUCAUUCUAACCAUUAGGUUACCUGCCUCUCUAACCACUAGGCUACCUGCUGCUCCAACCACUAGAUUAACUGCCUCCCCAACGCUCUAACAACUAGCCUACCUGCCGCCCCAACGCUCUAAUCACUAGCCUACCUGCCGCCCCAGCGCUCUAACCACUAAGCUACCUGCCGCCCCAACGCUCUAGGUUACCUGCCACACCAACGCUGUAACCACUAGGUUACCUGCCUCCCCAACGCUCUAACCACUAGGCUACCUGCCACACCAAUGCUCUAACCACUAGGCUACCUGCCACCUCAACGCUCUAGGUUACCUGCCACCCCAACGCUCUAACAACUAGGCUACCUGCCUCCCCAACGCUCUAACCACGAGGCUACAUGCCUCCGCAAUGCUCUAACUACUAGGCUACCUGCCUCCCCAACAUUCUAUCCACUAGGCUACCUGCCUCCCAACAUUCUAACCACUAGGCUACCUGCCGCCCCAAAGCUCAAACUACUAGGCUACCUGCCGCUCUAACCACUAGGUCACCUGUCGCUCUAACCACUAGGUUAGAUCUGUUAUUAGCUGGCUAGCCAAUUUGACGUGAUCCAUCAGCAGCAAUCGUGACUAAACACUCUUAAAAAACAAUGUUGAAAAGUGGAUAACGUUAGCUAAAUUUGCUAGGUAGGCCUACGUUGGUCUGAGAAAGAAGUACAUUAGGUCUAUUUACCUCUGUUUAGCCUGUAACAAGUUUAUGCCGAUAGCUUGCAAGUAUUAUCAGCUAACAGUACAUUGGUAAAAUGUUCCCUUCUGCUGCUUGACAGGAAGAGCCUGCAAAGGACAAGAAAUUAACCUUAACCACUCAUUCUUGUCAGCUAUAGUUCACUUUUAUUUUAUAACACUCACAUAUCCAAUCAAUGGUGGCCAAUGUUAAGAGAUAUCGUCAGGCUACCCUCACAUAUCUGAAAUGACCAUGAACAGCAUGCAGUUACUGCUGUAUAACUGAUACAGCAGAAUAUGGAAUUAUCUGACAUUUGUAGUUCUAUGCUCUUCCAGAGGUGAUGAUACCGAACGCUCUGCACCGUAUUGUGACGCUUUAUUGACAACCUAUUCUAACCAUUCUAGCCAGUCUAAGGGUCAUUCCAUUAAAUGAGUGCCAUUUGAUUAUUUUAAGUAGGAAUCGUGUGCAAAUAUUGAAUUUUAAAAGCCUGUUAUAUUAAGUGAAGUGCCCUUUAAUAAAAUGGUCAAUUCAUUGAAUUGACAGAUGUCAAUUCAAUGUCUAUUCCACAUUGGUUGAAUGUAAUUUCACUGAAAUUAUGUUGAAAGUGAGUUGAUUCAACCAGUGGGAGACCACAUGGAAAUUCAAUAAAUCUGCUUUUUUAUAUGAAUAAAGACUUGCUAAAGUGCCAAAAUGUUGCAUUUUGACAUGUCCCUCUGUACGCCUUUUGUGACUACUCGGAAGAUUUGAACCCACUAUCCCCAAAAUGUCUCUAAAUGUUCAGCAUCAUUGUAAAGCCCUAGUUAUGUUAUGUUGCUUUGACAGUCAUUUCUGCUGAUUUACUAUUUAUUUAAUGAUUCAUUUCAAUGUUUAAAAAGAAAGUAAUUUUAAGGUCAACCCUGUUACUUGGACUAAACUCUCGUUUUAUUCCUUAAGAGUCUGUUGACACAUCCGUGUGUCAAUCUAAGUAACGUAAUAACACAGCCAGCAGCAUACCACCCUGCAUACCACUGUUGGCUUGCUUCUGAAGAUAAGCAGGGUUGGUCCUGGUGAGUCCCUGGAUGGGAGACCAGAUUCUGCUGGAAGUGGUGUUGGAGUGCCAGAAGGAGGCACUCUUUCUUCAGGCCUUAAAAAAUAUCCCAAUUCCACAGGGUAGUGAUUGAGAACACUGCCCUGUGUAGGGUGCUGUCUUUCGGGUGGGACGUUAAACGGGUGUCCUGACUCUCUGAGGUCAUUUAUGAUCCCAUGGCACUGAUUGUAAGAGUAGGGGUGUUAACCCUGGUGUCCUGGCUAAAUUCCCAAUCUGGCCCUCAAACCAUCAUGGUCACCUAAUAAUCCCCAGUUUACAAUUGGCUCAUUCAUCCCCCUCCUCUCCCCUGUAACUAUUCC
This is a long non-coding RNA of Oncorhynchus tshawytscha (Chinook salmon), 3906 nucleotides long. Lineage: Eukaryota; Metazoa; Chordata; Actinopteri; Salmoniformes; Salmonidae. The record is from Ensembl.